RNAcentral lists this ribosomal RNA (407 nucleotides) under uncultured bacterium. RNAcentral's name for it is "partial 16S ribosomal RNA". It matches the Rfam family "Bacterial small subunit ribosomal RNA", at positions 29 to 526 of the family's 1533-position model. The record is from RNAcentral.
AUUGAACGCUGGCGGCAGGCCUAACACAUGCAAGUCGAGCGGAGCGGCGGACGGGUGAGUAAUGCCUAGGAAUCUGCCUGGUAGUGGGGGAUAACGUCCGGAAACGGGCGCUAAUACCGCAUACUAUCAGAUGAGCCUAGGUCGGAUUAGCUAGUUGGUGGGGUAAAGGCCUACCAAGGCGACGAUCCGUAACUGGUCUGAGAGGAUGAUCAGUCAGACUGGAACUGAGACACGGAAGAGACUCCGACGUGAGGCAGCAGUGGGGAGUAUUGGACAAUGGGGGAAAACGUGAACCAGCCAAGCCGCUGGUGUUAAGAAGGUCUUCGGAUUGUGAAGCACUUUGAGUGGGGAGGCGUUACCGGCAGAGGAAGAGCCGGCUAACUGCGUGCCAGCAGCCGCGGUAAUAC